This 979-nucleotide ribosomal RNA is filed under the name Bifidobacterium breve. RNAcentral's name for it is "partial 23S ribosomal RNA". It matches the Rfam family "Bacterial large subunit ribosomal RNA", at positions 1950 to 2925 of the family's 2925-position model. The record is from RNAcentral. RNAcentral also lists the same sequence under 1 other name. Lineage: Bacteria; Bacillati; Actinomycetota; Actinomycetes; Bifidobacteriales; Bifidobacteriaceae.
CCUAAGGUAGCGAAAUUCCUUGUCGGGUAAGUUCCGACCUGCACGAAUGGCGUAACGACUUCCCCACUGUCUCGACCAGGAGCUCGGCGAAAUUGCAGUACGAGUAAAGAUGCUCGUUAAGCGCAGAAGGACGAAAAGACCCCGGGACCUUUACUAUACCUUGGUAUUGGCAUUCGGUGUGGAUUGUGUAGCAUAGGCGGAAGGCUUCGAAGCCACGGCGCCAGCCGCGGUGGAGCCGCAAGGUGAAAUACCGCUCUGUUCGCAUUGGAUGUCUAACCUCGACCAGUCAUCCUGGUCAGGGACAGUGCCUGGCGGGUAGUUUAACUGGGGCGGUUGCCUCCCAAAGAGUAACGGAGGCGCUCAAAGGUUCCCUCAGCCCGGUUGGCAAUCGGGUGGCGAGUGUAAGUGCACAAGGGAGCUUGACUGCGAGACUGACGGGUCGAGCAGGGACGAAAGUCGGAACUAGUGAUCCGGUGCCGGUGUACGGACGCGGCAUCGCUCAACGGAUAAAAGGUACCCCGGGGAUAACAGGCUGAUCAUUCCCAAGAGUCCAUAUCGACGGGAUGGUUUGGCACCUCGAUGUCGGCUCGUCGCAUCCUGGGGCUGGAGCAGGUCCCAAGGGUUCGGCUGUUCGCCGAUUAAAGCGGCACGCGAGCUGGGUUCAGAACGUCGUGAGACAGUUUGGUCUCUAUCCUCUGCGCUCGUCGGAAUGUUGAGGAGGCCUGCCCAUAGUACGAGAGGACCUGGGUGGACGAACCUCUGGUAUGCCGGUUGUCACGCCAGUGGCACGGCCGGUUGGCUACGUUCGGAAGGGAUAACCGCUGAAAGCAUCUAAGCGGGAAGCCUGCUCCAAGAUAAGCAUUCCAUAGGACUACGGGUCCUUGAAGUCCCCAUGCAGAACACGUGGUUGAUAGGCCGGACGUGGAAGCCCCGCGAGGGGUGGAGCCGACCGGUACUAACGGACGAAAGGCAACACAAC